RNAcentral lists this long non-coding RNA (236 nucleotides) under Dromaius novaehollandiae (emu). RNAcentral's name for it is "lncRNA (ENSDNVG00000008759.1)". Lineage: Eukaryota; Metazoa; Chordata; Aves; Casuariiformes; Dromaiidae. The record is from RNAcentral.
UUUAUUUUCUUGCAAAUAAUGGAAAGAAGUAAAAGAUCUACAUGAGGUCACAGGCUCUGGCUGGUGGGCAUAAGCAUCUAGACUUUUCCUUGUUGGUAAUCAGAUGUUUUUUCCAGAUUCCUUUGUAGGUUGGACCCUUGCUUGAGGCUCUUGGAGAAGACUCCUCCCCCAAAAUUGGGACUUGGCAAACCAGGGUUCACACCAACUUCUUAUAGACUAUUGCAAAAUUCUGUAAG